UGCCAGCCGCCGCGGUAAUACGGAGGGGGCUAGCGUUGUUCGGAAUCACUGGGCGUAAAGCGCGCGUAGGCGGUCCAUAUAGUCAGGCGUGAAAGCCCCGGGCUCAACCUGGGAACUGCGCUUGAUACUGAUGGGCUAGAGUCCGGGAGAGGGUAGUGGAAUUCCCAGUGUAGAGGUGAAAUUCGUAGAUAUUGGGAAGAACACCAGUGGCGAAGGCGGCUACCUGGACCGGUACUGACGCUGAGGUGCGAAAGCGUGGGGAGCAAACAGGAUUAGAUA
Molecule: ribosomal RNA, 279 nt
Filed under: uncultured bacterium
Lineage: Bacteria
Description: partial 16S ribosomal RNA
Rfam family: Bacterial small subunit ribosomal RNA
Source: RNAcentral